UGCAUUUGCUUUAUUUACCUGACAAAUGUCCCAGACUCUCUGGACUGCAGGUUCAAUAAAGCUCUCCUUGUGAUACCUCACAGUGUGGAUGGACAUAAAAUUGCAGCAUUUAAACUACAGUGAGCUCAGUGUGACAAGUCAGCAUUUGGUCCUGAGUCUCCUCUUUACAGUAAGUGUGAUCAGCCCUUGCAUCAGGAGCUGUCGGAGCAUUAAACUCCAGUUUUGUCUGAA
Lonchura striata (white-rumped munia) is the source of this 231-nucleotide non-coding RNA. The record is from RefSeq and is a predicted model, not a curated record. NCBI's taxonomy places the organism in Eukaryota, Metazoa, Chordata, Aves, Passeriformes, Estrildidae.